Molecule: long non-coding RNA, 5561 nt
Organism: Bubalus bubalis (water buffalo)
Lineage: Eukaryota; Metazoa; Chordata; Mammalia; Artiodactyla; Bovidae
Exons: 3
Source: RefSeq, a predicted model, not a curated record
CACACACACACACACACACACACACACACAAUUGGGAGAGCUGUGUUGCAUCUUCUCACAGAAACCCCUUCAAGGUGAAUAUCAGAUAUUCCCUUGCUCUUCCCCACCCCCACAGCAUCCAUAUGUUUCCAGCCUCACUCCCCCUCCGCCCCUCUGCCCUCCCACCCCGAGCCAGUCUCCCACAGCAUCAUUUCUCCUGGGAGCAGCUCACCCCCACCCUCUGCCCAGACCACCUCAGGGCCAAUCUCUGCCUGCCCAGAAGACAUUAAGGGCCAGUUUGGAAAUUAUUUUUUCCCUCAACACAAUCAAAUUAUUAGUCUUAACUCCUUCCUCCGCUAGUCUCUGCAGGCAGGUAAAGAUUCACCAUCCCUUUGAUAUGAAUUAUGCCACCCCCUUGGAAGGCAGAAGGGCUGGAAUAAUUUCGUUGGUUGUUUAAAUCACAGCUUUUGCCUUCCUGCUGCUCAAGUUUAAGUAUAGCCCAGAGAUGUUUUCAUUGGCUCCACCUGCCUAGUUUGAAAUAUCUUCCCCCCUCUGGCUCCACCCCUCCCUCCUCAGCACCUCCUGAGCCCUAUCCUAUGACCCCGAUACACGUGCUUUCUCAAAACAGCUCAGGCCUGUUUCCUUAUUUCCCAGUGCUUGCUGUUUCCAAGUUGGAGAACCAGCCAUGGGGACCAUAGGAAGGCCCUAUUCUCACUCCUCCUUAGAAGUCCUAGGAUCCUUGCUGUAUACUUGGGUCACUCUGUCUCUAUGAGGCUGAGGGUUUCACAGUGUGCGAUUCCAACCCAGGGCCCCUGCAACCUUACAUGGCCAAAGAAUCGUGAGCCCCAGCAAGUCUCACCACAGGGGCACCCAGCUGAUGCGAAGUCUCAAGAAAUGUUCACAGGUCUACAUUAGAGCUCCAGAGCCUUCUGGAUCCUGGAGGGAAGCAGUCUGAAUGGAAUUUGGUCCCCCAAAUGUUACAGCCACAUCCUGAGUGACUCUCCCUCCGUCACGGUGGCCCAGCCACACCGGCCUUCCUCCAGCCCCUCAGAACCCCAGCAUCCUAGACCACCAAGGCCAGGAGCCGGGACAGCCUCUGCCUCCACAGGUAGAGAAACGUGCAUGGAUUCAGAGUAUGUUUGGAGGCAGAAAUGGUCAGUUGUUGCAAUAAAUAUGGCAUUGGUGAGGGUGCUAAGCCGGCGGGAACCCUCUAGUCUAGUCUAGGGCCGUCCUCACCAGCACUCAGGCACUUCUUUCUGGCCCUAUACAUGUCAUUGAGGCUCAGCCAGCCUCGGGGGAAGGAUGGUCAGGGAGAAUGAAGACUCACCGAACUUUGCUACCAGUUUCAAAGACUCCCUCACAGUGAUGUCAGAAGGUGAGGAACAGCUCCCAGCUGGGCCCACUGAUCUAAUUUCAGGAACCCCCUCUUCUAAGAGACCAUUCAUACUCAGCUUGUUCUCCAACUCCCAGAGGCCUUCUGGCUGUUUUCCUGCUUCAGAUCUCCACUGACCAGCCCCGGCAGCUUUUCUGCCAAGAAGAGAGAGGUGGCUGAUGAAAACCAUAUGUCUCUAAGUAAGUGGAAGUGAGGAGCCCUGCUUUGUUGUGCGAGUAUGUUGAUAUGGCUCCUGGUCUCCCGUGCAAUGGAAAAUCUCUAUUUUAAAGAAUACAAUGUUUAAGAGGCACUCUGAGACAAGCCACAUUUCGCAAUUAAGUAGUUUACAAGGUCAGCAAAGGAAGGACAAAAUAAACCAGCUGAAAAAGGUCUUGCUCAAUACCAAAAUUUGUUUAAAAGUUCAAUGCUACAGUCCGAAACUGUAAUAUAGGCUUGUUAUGGAGUGUUACAAAAAUAGCCCAAAAGAUGAGGCUCUUUGUGGAUGGAGAAACAAUUAAAAAUGUUUUAAGUAUUGGUUCAGAUACUGAUUUCUUAAUGUUUAAAAAAAGUAACUUAAAAAUGCAAACUACAUCAUUUCUUUCUUUUUUUUUUUUUUUACUUUUUCUAAACUGACCCUGGAGGCAAAGUAAACCCAGAGACACAAACAGAACGAACUACUGUUCAUUCUUUGCGGAACAAAAUUCAAAUUUCUUCAUCCAGCAUUCAAAUUCCAGCAUACUGUGGUUCCAACUGGCCUUCUCUGAAUUUUUUGCACAGAAUGCUGCCGCUGGCCCUGCCAGCCCCACACCCCGCCCUCCAUCCUGUUUGCAGGCUGCCAACUGUGAGGUUUCACAGGGCACUUACCUGCCCCUGAGGUGCCCUUCCUUCUGGCUGAAUGAAAAAAUGUUAGCCAUUCUUCGAGGGUAUUAGUUGCUGAAUUCUAUCCAUGCCACUUUAAUUUCCAUUUGAUUCUGGUGUAUAGAUUGCAGUUCUCUGGUGAAAUUCUCCCUCUUGUAAUCGAUUUUCUUGACCAUUUAAAUCACAGUUAUUUAAAAGUCUGUCAGAUAACUCCACUAUCUGGAUCACCUGUGGGUCUGUUUCUAUUAUAGAGAUACUCUUUUUUUGGACUGUGCUGGGUCUUUGUAGCUGCAUGCAGGCUUUCUCUUAGUUGUGGCAAGUAGGGGCUGCUCUCUCGCUGUGCUGCACAGGCUUCUCACUGCAGUGGCUUCUCUUGUUGCCGAGCAUAGGCUCUAGGAGCACAGGCUUCAGCAGUUGUGUUGCCCAGGUUUAGUUACCCCACAGCGUGUGGCAUCUUCCCGGACCAAGGAUCAAACCCCUGUUCCCUGCAUUGGCAGGCAGAUUCUUAACCACUGGACCACCAGGGAAGUCCAGAGAUAUGUUUUUGGCUCUGACCGAUGUUGUUUCAUCAGAAAGGAUUUACUUCGGCUUUCUGGAAGGCAGUUCAAGCAUUGGAAGGCCAUCUUUAUCCAGCCUGGGGAUGAGCUGGCUUGAAGCUGGUGAUCAGACUUUGAAGGCUGUCUGUUUCUGACUCACGUAGGCUCUUAGCGCUUCACUCUUCUGGGGUUCUCCCUGAGAAUCUGGUUGUGUUUUAGAGUCCCUCCUCUUGGGUGGGCCUUUGAGUUCCAGUUUACUUCCCCAGCCCCAUCUUACUGCCCCAACUCCAUUCAGCUUUCUGGUCUCUCAGUCAUGCCUCCUACUCAGCCUUCCCUGCUCCAGCUGAUGCUGCUUCUGAAUCGGCACAUGCCUUCGGGGAAGAGGGACUGGGAACUGGGAACUAACCAACUGUACUUCUGUUCUCUUUCUCAGACAUCUUGCUCCUCAAGUCCCACUUGCCUGGGUAUUUUGAACUCCAAAAUUUUCUCCUUACCCUAUGAGAUCUCCAAAACCUCUAAUUCAAGUUCUCUAACUCAGUUCACCAUCACUUACUGCUUGUUUUUAGUCUCUUGGCCCCAUGCUGCUCAUGAGCCAGGGAGACCUUAAGGGUAAAUGUAGCACCGAAUGUCACCUCCAUAUGCUCCCAAGUCUCUAGGAUCCUGACCUUUCAAAUCCCAACUGCCUGUAAGCAGAUAGCUUUUGGAUUUUGUCCAGCUUACUCUUGGUGAGAGAACCAGUCUCUAAAGAGCCACCCUGAUGUUACAAGAAGUGCAUCCUCUAAUCGCUUCUUUAUAAUAUAAGCUCCCUGAGGGCAGAGAAUGUGUCUCCAUCACAAUUGUGGUCGCAGGAGGAUCUCACUCACAAGAUCUGAGUAUCACCUACGCUGGAACAUUUCCAAAUGUCUGUCUCCAGCUCAGAGAUCUGUUUUAAGCUCUUAGCCCCAUGGACCAAACUGCCACUUGUCAUCUCCAGGAAGCUGCUUCACAGAAACUCAAGACAUCCAAAGUCACGUUCUUCCCCGACAUCUGUUCUUCGCUGGGGCUCCCAGGCUCGGGAAGGGGUGUGUCCUCCAUCUACCCUGCUGCUUAUGUCAGAAUCCCAAAGGUCCCCACUGGCAAUCCGCACCCACCUCCCGCCCACAUCCAACCCCCCCAGUGCUGCUGAUUCCACCUGAAAAUGUCACACAAACUCAUCCAGCUCUUUCUCGCCACUGCUGCCCUGUCCCAGCACUGUUCCCCCCUCCCUCGUUACUCAGGAGUCUCCUCACAUUCCUCCACAGAGCCAGGCUGGCCUCCGUCCAGCAUGUUCGCCAGCCACCCUAGGAGCAGAAUGACCCCUUGAACACAAAAAUCUGAUUAUGUCAUUCCUCGGCAUAACACCCUUCAAUGACGUCCAUUGCUCUGAGGAAAGCUUUGAAGAUAAACCCUCAUGGAGUCACCCACCCCGUGUGUUCAAACCCCAACCCCUCUCCCAGUCUUGCUUUGCCUGACUCUUGCCCUUGACACACAUUCCACUCUUAAGCCCUUCUCAACUCUGCCAGCACCUUCUUGAGAUCCUUUCUGCCUGGUGGCUCCCCUGCCAGAAGACACCCUUCUCGUCCCCUGUCUGAUUCUCUUCUGUGCAUCCUUCAGGUCUCUGCUAAAUGUCCCCUUCUCAAAGGAGCCUCCCUGACCCCUAGAAUUGGUUAGGCGUUGUCACUGUGUCCUGCACUCUUCGCAGCACCAGCACGGAAACAACUGCAGAGUUAACCAAGCGAUUACCAAUUACGCUCCUCCCCAUCAGAUGCCAAUCUCCUUAAGGCCAGGGCUAUAUUUGUCUUGAUCACCACCACAUGCUCAGCACCAGCAAAGUGCCUGAGAUAUCUUAGAAGAUUUGUAAAUAAUUUUUUGAAUCAGGGAAUAAAAGAUAGAAGUCCGCCGGCACCCCGCCACCCCUACUCUGCCAGCCACCGAGCAGAACGCGGUGCAGGGAGAGAGAGGGAGGCUGGAAUGGGGUUUCUAGUUAGCAAGUGUCUCUGAGAGCGUGACUCUAAAAAUAAAGAAUGCUAAAUUGCUGUCUAAUGCCUCUUCUUUUGCUGGGCUUAACGCACUGGCCUGGGAGCCAGUAGAUUCGGGUUCCAAUCCCAGGUCUGGCACAAAUCAUGACAAAUAGCAUUUUUAUAAUGCUUCACAGUUUACAAGACAUUUCCACAGAUAGGAUCUCAUUAAACCAGCUCGAUGACCUCGGGCAAGCAGCUUUUAGAGGCCUGUUGGGAGGGAGGAGACCUGGGAAGGCGCUGGGUUCCAGAACCCACUCUGCCUCAACUCCCCAAGGGAUCUCUCGAGAGUUCCCUGCCCAGCCCCAAGUCUACUGUAAAAUGAAGGGGACCAGCGAGGUGAUCUUUGAGGUUUGUCUAUAGGAAUUUAGAACUAAAAUUUCAAGACGGCUCCCCAGUCAGAAUGCAGAAUCUUUGGAGUGUCCUUUUUUCUCAUGUAGCAGGGCAGCGUCCCAAGAGGUUCCCAACAAUGCCUUGAGUGUCCUGGCAAGGUGUCCUUAAAAGUGGGACUGAAACCAGCAUUUUUGUGCAGUUGGUUUACUUGAGAGCUGAUCCCAGGACACACGAGUGAGAGGCUGAGGAGAUGGACAAAGAGGAAGAGCCCAGUUGGGAGUGUUUGUCCAGGUCACUCUGUUUCAAGGGCUGUGACCUUGACCUCAUCAGGCCCUGCUGAGAAGCCACAGAACGCUUCCACAGCUGUCACCCAGCCAUGCUGGCAGGGGACCUUUCUUUAUCAGUUCCCACCUUGACUGGUGGAUGGUCGUCCCCCGCCCCUUGGAG